AAAUCCAUUUGGCAAAUUAUUCGAAAGAAUAAGACGCAAAGCUUCCGGCCUGUCGACUGACUUUUUAUGUCUAUGGUAGCGGGGUUGCAAAC
RNAcentral lists this non-coding RNA (92 nucleotides) under Photobacterium aquae. RNAcentral describes it as "c-di-GMP sequence". It matches the Rfam family "c-di-GMP-I riboswitch aptamer". Rfam says of the family: GEMM was predicted in a large-scale screen for bacterial structured RNA regulatory elements. Genes associated with GEMM are involved in a diverse array of functions, including chemotaxis regulation, signal transduction, secretion and chitin. Lineage: Bacteria; Pseudomonadati; Pseudomonadota; Gammaproteobacteria; Vibrionales; Vibrionaceae. The record is from RNAcentral.